Molecule: ribosomal RNA, 412 nt
Filed under: Armatimonadetes bacterium CG07_land_8_20_14_0_80_40_9
Lineage: Bacteria; Bacillati; Armatimonadota
Description: bacterial LSU rRNA
Rfam family: Bacterial large subunit ribosomal RNA
Source: RNAcentral
GGUCCCAAGGGUUGGGCUGUUCGCCCAUUAAAGCGGUACGCGAGCUGGGUUCAGAACGUCGUGAGACAGUUCGGUCCCUAUCUGCCGUGGACGACAGGAGAUUUGAGAGGAGCUGUCCUUAGUACGAGAGGAUCGGGAUGGACAGACCGCUAGUGUACCAGUUGUUCCGCCAGGGGCAAAAGCUGGGUAGCUAUGUCUGGAAGGGAUAAGCGCUGAAAGCAUCUAAGUGCGAAGCCCACCUCAAGAUAAGAUCUCCCAUAAUGAUGCUCGGGAGCAAAGAGUAUCUUUAUAUACUCUGAGCUUCAGGGCUAGUUGGUAAGACUCCUGGAAGACUACCAGGUUGAUAGGCUGGAAGUGUAAGUCCGGUAACGGAUUGAGCUAACCAGUACUAAUCAGUCGAGGGCUUGACCAA